Molecule: long non-coding RNA, 223 nt
Filed under: Lathyrus oleraceus (garden pea)
Lineage: Eukaryota; Viridiplantae; Streptophyta; Magnoliopsida; Fabales; Fabaceae
Description: Pisum sativum (pea) long non-coding RNA (PSAT_LNC028546)
Source: RNAcentral
AUAAAAUGAAGACAUAAAAGCAUAUAUGUGCUCUAUUUAAAUUAUAAAAAUAAGUAUGAAAUGUUGUUAAAUAUUUAGUUUUAAAAUAUGCAGAAGGUAAAGUAGAGCGUUAACAUUUUUACGAUCAAUAUUCACUUUGUAGUUCCUCUUAUCUUUAUUGUUUUGGUUGUGAAACAUUUGUUAGUUUUGUUAUUAAACUUUGAAAAUAUAACCAGGACUUAAU